This 67-nucleotide transfer RNA is filed under the name Pedipes pedipes. RNAcentral's name for it is "tRNA-Val". Lineage: Eukaryota; Metazoa; Mollusca; Gastropoda; Ellobiida; Ellobiidae. The record is from RNAcentral.
AAGCUUAUAGUAUUCACAAGUACACUUCCUUUACAAAGAAGAAGUUCCGUAUAUAGGGAUGGGCUUU